UACAGAGGUCCCGAGCGUUGUUCGGAUUCAUUGGGCGUAAAGGGUGCGUAGGCGGCGCGGUAAGUCGGGUGUGAAAUCUCGGAGCUUAACUCCGAAACUGCAUUCGAUACUGCCGUGCUUGAGGACUGGAGAGGAGACUGGAAUUUACGGUGUAGCGGUGAAAUGCGUAGAUAUCGUAAGGAAGACCAGUGGCGAAGGCGGGUCUCUGGACAGUUCCUGACGCUGAGGCACGAAGGUCGGGGGAGCAAACGGG
Molecule: ribosomal RNA, 253 nt
Filed under: uncultured bacterium
Lineage: Bacteria
Description: partial 16S ribosomal RNA
Rfam family: Bacterial small subunit ribosomal RNA
Source: RNAcentral